RNAcentral lists this ribosomal RNA (524 nucleotides) under uncultured bacterium. RNAcentral's name for it is "bacterial SSU rRNA". It matches the Rfam family "Bacterial small subunit ribosomal RNA", at positions 355 to 896 of the family's 1533-position model. The record is from RNAcentral.
UGGGGAAUCUUGCGCAAUGGGCGAAAGCCUGACGCAGCCAUGCCGCGUGAAUGAUGAAGGUCUUAGGAUUGUAAAAUUCUUUCACCGGGGACGAUAAUGACGGUACCCGGAGAAGAAGCCCCGGCUAACUUCGUGCCAGCAGCCGCGGUAAUACGAAGGGGGCUAGCGUUGCUCGGAAUUACUGGGCGUAAAGGGAGCGUAGGCGGACAUUUAAGUCAGGGGUGAAAUCCCGGGGCUCAACCUCGGAAUUGCCUUUGAUACUGGGUGUCUUGAGUAUGAGAGAGGUGUGUGGAACUCCGAGUGUAGAGGUGAAAUUCUUAAAAAUUCGGAGAAAAACCCAGUGGCGAAGGCGACACACUGGCUCAUUACUGACGCUGAGGCUCGAAAGCGUGGGGAGCAAACAGGAUUAGAUACCCUGGUAGUCCACGCCGUAAACGAUGAUUGCUAGUUGUCGGGAUGCAUGCAUUUCGGUGACGCAGCUNACGCAUUAAGCAAUCCGCCUGGGGAGUACGGUCGCAAGAUUA